UCGGCAGGGACAGAGGACACUAAUAUCAAUGCCAAGGAAGUCACUGCAGGAACAAUGAUCUGAGGAGACCCAACAGUUUUAAGGCCACCUGUCGGCCCAAGAAGCCAGCUGGAGCUCCAGUUGUUCAGUCUGUUUUCCAGGUUGCAGGAAGAGAGAUGGCACACUCAUCCCCUGGAAGGAUUAGGAAAAAAAUGGCAAGAAAUGAAAAAAAAAUGAGGCACUUAUGCUACGAAAGUAUAUAUAGAC
Molecule: long non-coding RNA, 246 nt
Filed under: Homo sapiens (human)
Lineage: Eukaryota; Metazoa; Chordata; Mammalia; Primates; Hominidae
Description: HSALNT0313315
Source: RNAcentral